UGGUCAAGUUAUUAAGGGUGCAGGGCGGAUGCCUUGGCACUAGGAGCCGAUGAAGGACGUGAUAAGCUGCGAUAAGCUUCGGGGAGUUGCACGUAAACUUUGAUCCGAAGAUUUCCGAAUGAGGAAACUCACUUAGAGUAAUGUCUAAGUAUCAUUAAGUGAAUACAUAGCUUAAUGAGGGGAACUCAGGGAACUGAAACAUCUAAGUACCUGAAGGAAGAGAAAGAAAUUCGAUUCCGUAAGUAGCGGCGAGCGAACGCGGAUUAGCCCAAACCAAUAAAGUUUUCUUUAUUGGGGUUGCGGACAUAUCAUAACGAAGAGGUAUCGUAAUUGAAGAGGUUUGGAAAGACCUACCACAGAAGGUAAUAGUCCUGUAUGUUAAACGAGAAGACUUUAGAUAUGAUCCAGAGUACCACGGGACACGUGAAACCCUGUGGGAAGCAGGAGGGACCACCCUCCAAGGCUAAAUACUACCUAGUGACCGAUAGCGUAUAGUACCGUGAGGGAAAGGUGAAAAGAACCCCGGGAGGGGAGUGAAAUAGAACCUGAAACCCUGCACUUACAAGCUGUGGAAGCACAUUUCUUGUGUGACCGCGUACUUUUUGUAGAACGGGCCAACGAGUUACGUUAAGUAGCAAGGUUAAGCACUUAAGGUGCGGAGCCGUAGCGAAAGCGAGUUUUAACUGAGCGUUCAGUUACUUGACGUAGACCCGAAACCGGGCGACCUACCCAUGAGCAGGAUGAAGCGAAAGUAAAAUUUCGUGGAGGUCCGAACCCACGAGCGUUGAAAAGCUCGGGGAUGACUUGUGGGUAGCGGUGAAAUUCCAAUCGAGCCCGGAGAUAGCUGGUUCUCCCCGAAAUAGCUUUAGGGCUAGCCUCAAGGUGAGAGAUACGGAGGUAGAGCACUGAAUGUCCUAGGGGGUAUUGCACCUACCGAAGACUAUCAAACUCCGAAUGCCGUCAUCUUAUACUUGGGAGUCAGACUGUGGGUGAUAAGAUUCAUAGUCGAAAGGGCAACAGCCCAGAUCGUCAGCUAAGGUCCCUAAAUGUAAGUUAAGUGGUAAAGGAUGUGGGAUUGCACAGACAACCAGGAUGUUGGCUUAGAAGCAGCCACUCAUUCAAAGAGUGCGUAAUAGCUCACUGGUCGAGUGAUCCUGCGCCGAAGAUUUCCGGGGCUAAAACUUACUACCGAAGCUACGGCAUCAGUAAUGAUGGGUAGGGGAGCUUCCCAUACGGGUUGAAGCAUGACCGUAAGGACAUGUGGACAGUAUGGGAGUGAGAAUGUUGGCAUGAGUAGCGAGAUGUGGGUGAGAAUCCCACAGGCCGUAAACCCAAGGUUUCCAGGGGAAGGUUCGUCCGCCCUGGGUUAGUCGGGACCUAAGCUGAGGCCGAAAGGCGUAGGUGAUGGACAACAGGUUGAUAUUCCUGUACUACCGAUAACCAUUUGAGAGAAGGGAUGACACAGUAGGAUAAGCUAAGCACACUGUUGGUUAUGUGUGCCCAAGCAUUGAGGCAGUCAAAGUAGGCAAAUCCGCUUUGAUAAUGCUGGGAUGUGAUGGGGAGCGAAAUUUAGUAGCGAAGUAGCUGAUUUCACACUGUCAAGAAAAGUCUCUAUCGAGGUUAAAGGUACCCGUACCGCAAACCGACACAGGUGGGUGAGGAGAGUAUCCUAAGGCCAGCGAGAGAACUGUUGUUAAGGAACUCGGCAAAAUGACCCCGUAACUUAGGGAUAAGGGGUGCCACCAUCAGGUGGCCGCAGAGAAUAGGCCCAAGCGACUGUUUACCAAAAACAUAGGUUUCUGCUAAGUCGCAAGACGAUGUAUAGGAGCUGACGCCUGCCCGGUGCUGGAAGGUUAAGGGGAUCUGUUAGAGCAAUCGAAGCAGUGAACUUAAGCCCCAGUAAACGGCGGCCGUAACUAUAACGGUCCUAAGGUAGCGAAAUUCCUUGUCGGGUAAGUUCCGACCCGCACGAAAGGCGUAACGAUUUGGGCACUGUCUCAACAACAGACUCGGUGAAAUUGUAAUUCCGGUGAAGAUGCCGGAUACCUGCGACAGGACGGAAAGACCCCAUGGAGCUUUACUGUAGCUUGACAUUGGGUCUUGGUACUACAUGUACAGGAUAGGUGGGAGGCUUUGAAACCAGGACGCCAGUUUUGGCGGAGCCAUCCUUGGGAUACCACCCUUGUAGUACUGGGACUCUAACCAUAGGCCAUGAAUCUGGUCUUGGGACACUGUCAGGUGGGCAGUUUGACUGGGGCGGUCGCCUCCCAAAAGGUAACGGAGGCGCUCAAAGGUUCUCUCAGUACGGUCGGAAAUCGUACGUAGAGUGUAAAGGCAAAAGAGAGCUUGAUUGCAAGACAUACAGGUCGAGCAAGGAUGAAAAUCGGACUUAGUGAUCCGGUGGUUCUGCGUGGAAGGGCCAUCGCUCAACGGAUAAAAGCUACCCUGGGGAUAACAGGCUUAUCUCCCCCAAGAGUCCACAUCGACGGGGAGGUUUGGCACCUCGAUGUCGGCUCAUCACAUCCUGGGGCUGUAGUAGGUCCCAAGGGUUGGGCUGUUCGCCCAUUAAAGUGGUACGCGAGCUGGGUUCAGAACGUCGUGAGACAGUUCGGUCCCUAUCCGUCGCAGGCGUAGGAAAUUUGAGAAGACCUGUCCUUAGUACGAGAGGACCGGGAUGGACGUACCUCUGGUGUACCAGUUGUCCUGCCAAGGGCAUGGCUGGGUAGCUAUGUACGGAAUGGAUAAGCGCUGAAAGCAUCUAAGCGCGAAGCCAACUUCAAGAUAAGAUUUCCCACCGCAAGGGUAAGACCCCAGAAAGACUAUCUGGUUGAUAGGUCGAAGGUGUAAGUGCAGCAAUGUAUUUAGCUUAUCGAUACUAAUAGGUCGAGGACUUGACCAAGAUUUAUU
RNAcentral lists this ribosomal RNA (2907 nucleotides) under Clostridioides difficile. Its description in RNAcentral is "23S ribosomal RNA". It matches the Rfam family "Bacterial large subunit ribosomal RNA". The record is from RNAcentral. Lineage: Bacteria; Bacillati; Bacillota; Clostridia; Peptostreptococcales; Peptostreptococcaceae.